GCCGAUAUAGCUCAGUUGGUAGAGCAACGCAUUCGUAAUGCGUGGGUCACGAGUUCGAGUCUCGUUAUCGGCUCCA
RNAcentral lists this transfer RNA (76 nucleotides) under Prevotella sp. RNAcentral describes it as "tRNA-Thr". It matches the Rfam family "tRNA". From Rfam's summary of the family: Transfer RNA (tRNA) molecules are approximately 80 nucleotides in length. Their secondary structure includes four short double-helical elements and three loops (D, anti-codon, and T loops). Further hydrogen bonds mediate the characteristic L-shaped molecular structure. tRNAs have two regions of fundamental functional importance: the anti-codon, which is responsible for specific mRNA codon recognition, and the 3' end, to which the tRNAs corresponding amino acid is attached (by aminoacyl-tRNA synthetases). tRNAs cope with the degeneracy of the genetic code in two manners: having more than one tRNA (with a specific anti-codon) for a particular amino acid; and 'wobble' base-pairing, i.e. permitting non-standard base-pairing at the 3rd anti-codon position. The record is from RNAcentral. Lineage: Bacteria; Pseudomonadati; Bacteroidota; Bacteroidia; Bacteroidales; Prevotellaceae.